ACCGCGAGAUCGUGACCUGGCUGAAGUCAGACGCUUAACUGACUGUGCCACCCAGGCGCCCCUAAUGUUUAUUUAUUUUUGAGAGACAGAGAGAGACGGAGCGUGAGCAGGGGAGGGGCAGAGAGAGGGACACAGAGAAUCCGAAGCAGGCUCCAGGCUCUGAGCUGUCAGCACAGAGCCUGACGUGGGGCUUGAACUCACGAACCGCGAGAUCGUGACCAGAGACGAAGUCGGUGCUUAACUGACGGAGCCACCCAGGUGCCCCAAUUCCUCAACAUUUUUAAGACUUGAAACUAAAAGAAUACGCCCAAUUUGUGGAAAGAUCCCUGGAUUAGAAACCCAGGGAUUUGUUUUCCAAUUCAGAAUUUCCCACAACUGUGGGCAAAACGUCUCACUUCUCUGGGCCUCAGUUUCCUUUUCUGGAUUAAGAUGCUGAGGCUAAAUGAGUUCGGUAGUGCCUUCCACUACCCCACAUUCUAGGAUUGCAUUUUAAACACACAGCACAGGGGCGCCUGGGUGGCUCAGUCGGUUGAGCGUCCGACUUCAGCUCAGGUCAUGAUCUCACAGCUCAUGAGUUCGAGCCCCGUGUCAGACUCUGUGCUGACAGCUCGGAGCCUGGAACGUGCUUCCGAUUCUGGGCCUCCCUCUUUCUCUGCCCUUCUCUUGCUUGGGCUCUGACUCUCUCUCUCUCUCAAGAAUAAAUAAACAUUAAAAAAAACCACACACAUAGCACAAAGUAUUUGCUCUGGGAUUCUCAAAUCUUCUCUCACCAAAGCGAACAAAAUCCUUGGAUAAAUUGUCACAGUCUAGAAAGGCUCAUAUUUUCUUUCUUUCUUUCCUUUUUUUUUUUUUUUUUUUUUUUUUUUGCAACCCAGGAGAAAGUGCUAAGAGGUGAAAACGGAAAUACACGACAAGAGGCUUCACCCUGAAAGAAGAUGGAGAGUAAGAGCCUGAGAGAUGUUUGCUGUGCGGGAAGGAAGCUUCUCACUCUUCCUUCAGCAGCCUGCAAACCUCCUGCCUUGUUUUUCGCCUUGGUGACAGAAUGGCUGUUGUCUCAACCCAGGGCCUGGGAGAAGGAAGAUGCCACGAGGUGGGCCGAGUGCCCCGAAGAGAACACAGAGGACACGCUGAGAGAAUUCCCUGAGACAAGGAUUGUGGCUUUCCCCUUCUCCUUGGCAGAUGGGACAGGCCUGUGAUCGUGCAGUUAAUUACGUGUCACUUUAAGAUACAGAGUCUCCCGGGUGGACACGGAGAAGAGACAGGGGCACCCUGGAGAGCUCUCACUGGAGCAAAGUAAACCCUGUAGGAGAUGGAUCAGAAUUCAUUGUGGGAGCUAAUUAUAUUUACCAGCGAGCUUUGUUUUACCUUUUAUUUCGUAAAUUUUGUCUUUUUCCUGGAUUCAAGGAGAGCAGGAGAGCACACGGUUUAACUCGUCAAAUGUAAUAAAUAAAUAAAUCCAGUAAAUGUGAGUGUCUCC
This 1477-nucleotide long non-coding RNA is filed under the name Felis catus (domestic cat). Its description in RNAcentral is "lncRNA (ENSFCAG00000043326.2)". The record is from RNAcentral. Lineage: Eukaryota; Metazoa; Chordata; Mammalia; Carnivora; Felidae.